GAUGAACGCUGGCGGCGUGCCUAAUACAUGCAAGUCGAGCGAACAGACGAGGAGCUUGCUCCUCUGACGUUAGCGGCGGACGGGUGAGUAACACGUGGAUAACCUACCUAUAAGACUGGGAUAACUUCGGGAAACCGGAGCUAAUACCGGAUAAUAUAUUGAACCGCAUGGUUCAAUAGUGAAAGACGGUUUUGCUGUCACUUAUAGAUGGAUCCGCGCCGCAUUAGCUAGUUGGUAAGGUAACAGCUUACCAAGGCAACGAUGCGUAGCCGACCUGAGGGGGUGAUCGGCCACACUGGAACUGAGACACGGUCCAGACUCCUACGGGAGGCAGCAGUAGGGAAUCUUCCGCAAUGGGCGAAAGCCUGACGGAGCAACGCCGCGUGAGUGAUGAAGGUCUUCGGAUCGUAAAACUCUGUUAUUAGGGAAGAACAAAUGUGUAAGUAACUAUGCACGUCUUGACGGUACCUAAUCAGAAAGCCACGGCUAACUACGU
Molecule: ribosomal RNA, 496 nt
Filed under: uncultured bacterium
Lineage: Bacteria
Description: partial 16S ribosomal RNA
Rfam family: Bacterial small subunit ribosomal RNA
Source: RNAcentral